CGCGGUCGGUCUGCCGGAUUAUAUCUAACCUCUACCACGAAUCGGUCGGCCAUAUGACCUGUUAGUAAUUUAAUCUAGACUUGUUUACAGGGGCGGAUCCAUAAAUUGCGGUUGGGGGGGACUUUAUCAGGCAGGGAGUCUGGGGGCCGCCUUUAGGCCCCCAGUGGGUCCAGGGGGCGAAGCCCCCGGAAGCUCCUGGAUUUUAUAGGGCUUGAAAUAUGUCUCCUAUUUAGUCAUUUGUACUAUUUUCUAUCAAUUUUUAUGAGGUGAAAUUAAUAAAAUGACGCAAAUAUUAGGGGGUUUUGGAAUUUAUCCGGAAGUGCAAAAAAUUAUUGCUUCUUACAUGUAUAUCGUUUAAUACAUUUUUCUAAACAAGAUACUACGAUUUGCCUUAAAUUUGAAAAAAUUAAAGGGGGCUCGCCCCGGUUGCGCCCCCCCCCCACCUAAAUCCGCCACUGGUUUAUAUUUUAAAACAAAGAAAAACAAUAUAAAGAAUAGAAUGUCUUUCUUUGUUGUUUCAUUGGGUGAUGAAGGUAGCAAUCAUUGCAGAAAAUAAAUUACAGAACCCGCUUACGUGGAUUCAGAUAUUUUUCUGCUACAUUCAUCACCCAAUAAAACCACAAAGAAAGCAUUUUAUUGUUUAAAGAAAUGAUCAUGGAACAGUUGUCAAGAUGCAAGGUAGGAUAGAGGGCCCAAUUUGACCCUCUUAAUCACUUAUAAAGUCAGAGCUACAAAAGGACAAAAUUCGCCGGUAUUUUCAUGAAAAAAUAACUUAAAUUAAAGACCUAAUUUUAUGUUGACACCUCCAAAUGAUAAGCCGUCUGUCAUUCUGCAGAGACUGGAUCCAUAUUUACUAAAGUUCGUAGACGUAAACGUAGGAUUUACGUCUGACUUAAGAUUAGAGUUACGGUCUCGUAAAAUGGUAUUCACAAAACCGUUCGUAGCUGCAAACGUAACUUACGAAUUCUUAAAUGUACGAUUGUACUUACGCGUGCGCAGUGGCUAUUUUCACCUCGAAGCGUAAAAAGUGUGAAUUUGCUCAUCAACUUUGAAUUCCCUUCGCUACCGCCGAAUUAUGACGAAAAAGAACACAGAGCCUUGUGAGAAAGCAACGAAUUUCAACGUACACGUAUGCCUGCCAACGGCAUGUCGAUCAACUGUACCGUUAUUCAGUGUUGUUUACAAAUUCAAAAGGAAGGUUCAUCAAAUUUAACGCAUCUGUGCAUGGAUCUGUGAUGCUGUACGUGUUCAAAAAGAAGUCGACAUGGACUGACAAGUAAGUUAAGUUGUUUGUGUAGAAAUAACCUUUGUUUUACCACUGACUACUCGUCACUAGGCCCCUAAAUAAUGUUAAAUUGACUUCAAGCAGAUUCAGUACAUGACACACAUUUGCUUGAAUUUGCUUGGAUCACAGUCUCUUAUAUAUUAUGUUAUCCACCUAUGUAGCUGCUAUAAUGCUUGGAUCUUAAUUUCUAAAUAGUGAGCACAUAUACAUAAGUGUUAGUUAUUUACAAUUUUAUAUGUACCCACUAUUUUCACAUUAACGCAUUUGUGUACAUGGUUAACUUCCAACUUUUGACAAUACCAUAUUACAUUGAAAUUCAAAAUUAUUUAUCCCAUUGUUUUUUAUUUCAUGACUGGGACAAGAUCAAAGCAGUAGCAUAGCUACCUGUACACAAGUACGCACAUGCUUUCACAUCAUUUUGCAAAAAGAAAAACAACAAUAUUGGUGAAAAAUGAAUCUAAAAAAUAGAUUAUAUAUACAGGCACUAAUUCUAAAAUGUGUGAUUUGUACGUAGCCCUCCAUUGCAUAGUUAUAAAAUAUGAAAAUUAUUAUUGCUUUAACAAUAUAUACUUUGAGCGAACAGGUAGAUAGGGUGAAUGGACUCGGUACCAGAUGAGAACAGUUACAGUCUCUUUUAGCAUCAUUUCAAUUAUUGUUUGUGCACAUCAUGAUCCAUGUGCAAAACUUUCAGAAAAUAUUGUGAAACAAAAUCGCAUUCAAAUACAGUUCUACAACUCUGUGAAGUCAAUGUUGAUUUAUUUGAUUUAGAAUAACUGACUAUAUAUUAAUUGGAGAUAUUAUUAUUAAAGUGUGAUAUACAUGUACCAUGCACUAGAUAUCCAAGCUAGCUGACUUCGUUCAUUUUUCAAAGGGUCAUAAAGGUGGUCAGGAAAUAAAUUGCCAACAGACAUCAGCAUUCCUUGGUUUAGAUGCAUUUCUCUUCAUGUCCUCUCCUGAAAGUUUUUCCAUGAUGUCUCAGGGUUAGGAUUGGGAUGCAGGAUGUACAGAACAUAUAUAUGAUGCAAGAAUAUCCACUGCCAAUGGGUAGAAUGCUGUAAUGGCGUGAAAAAUAUUUUGCGAAACCGAGAAAUGCUCAUCUUCCUUUGCCAUGAUUGUGUGAAAGGACGAGCAGAGGAAUGAUUCAAAAAUAUAUUGCAGGAUUGAGAAUCCAACCCAGGACCCAUUGUCUGGUAGUCUACCCAAUGACCAAUCCAUGCUGAUUGUCCAUCUGCUACAUUGUACAUUGAUCCCAUCUUAUGUAUUUAUUUAUUCAUUUAUUGCAUAUGGACAUUUGACAGUAAAAUAAAAAAAAGUUUGAUAUUCACCAAAAUCGAAUUUGUUACAAUACAUGUUUAAGAAAUUAAGUACAUGUAUUGUUAUGCAUACACUUAUGUACAUAUAAUUAUAUUUGUUAAUAGAUAAGUUUUUAGAUGAAUUUUCAUGUUGUUAUUAUACCCCCCGCAAACGAAGUUUGGGGGAUAUUGGAAUCACUUUGUCUAUUUGUCUGUCCAUCUGUCCGUCCGUUUGUCCGUAGACGCAAUUUGUCCGAAGUUUAUUUCUAAUACCGCUGGACAUAUUUCAUUCAAACUUUAUGCACAUCUUAUAUAUAUUAUGUAGUUGUGCAUCUCCUAUUUUCAUUGAAAUAUUUUAACAUUAUAGAAGUUACGCACAUUUUCUUUUCAUUUUGGGGGUUGCGCACUGUGCUUGCAUUAAAUAUUUCCCAUCAUCUUAUAUGCCCCGCGGGGGUAUUAGUCCCAUUAGGACAGUUCUAGUUGAUAUUGACAUGUACAUGUAUUACUUCCAUUUCUAGAAUGAUUUUAACAUCUUGAUAUUAAAAAGAUGACAAAAUAAAUAAAUCUUAAAUAUUAUUCAACAAAGUUGUCUGGUGGGUUAAAAUUUGUAAAGAGGAUCUUGCUGAAGUCCAGUUUAACAGAGUUAAACAUAUGACAUUGACCUGUCCACAACUCCUAUUCUGUCUUAAUUCAAUUCUUUAAAAAAAGUUUUCUUUUGUAUAUACAUGUAUUAUAAAUUACAUAAUCAGAAAUUAAACAAUAAUUUGCAGAUUGAUUUCUAAAAAUUGUAACUUACUGAAGUAUUAUCAAUGUAUGAUAUAGCUCUACAUUAUAAAAGAAAUUAUUCAUUUAGGCAGUGAAUGAGAGUAAGAUAGAGAGAAAGAGGGAGUGGGUGUAGACUGUGACAGCUACUGCUAUGGAUACAAACACUAUAAUCACAGAAACCCUGCAGACGGCCAUGAGAUACUUCCUGUGUAUAUAUCAAAAGUAUACAUAACAGCUAGUCCGAAAUAUAUGUCGUUUUCCUGGUUUCUUUCUGAUUUUAAUAUUUACCAGGAAAAUAUCACUGUAUAUAUCAAAAUCAAAAAGCAAACAAACAAGAAAACGUUAAAUAUUUCGGACUAACACAACAUCCUGAUCUUUUGGCGAGGUAAAUUCCAGGUAAUUAACAAUCUGACCUUAGAUGAGCUCCGCCCACAUUUAUUGAGUCAUGAAUAAACCCUACGGUAUUGAUUUUGGGUCUUUAACAACCAAAUGUAGCAUUGAUUUUUGUCAAUAUACAUCGUAGUAAAUGUAUUCAUAUGAAAAUGUUAUUUUUGUGACGUCAUAACUGCGUAAUGCAUGUCACAGCACGUGACUUUUCACUUCUUCUUUGAAAACAACAUAUUUUUGAACUUUGAUUCCAAAUUUCAGUUUUGACACAUCAAGCGAACAAAAUAAAUCUUUUGACAGGGGUAGAGAAAUGAAAAAUGCAGAGAAAUGUUGAAUUUACAUUGUUCGAUGUACAUGUAUGUGGACAUGGGGAAAUAUCUUGUUUUAGCUCUUGAAGAAAUAUGAAUUAUGCAUCGACUAAUGCAAAUGGAGAAAUUCUUACCACUUUAUUCUUAAGCUUGAUAUGAGGUGAUCUUGAAGUUAGAAAAAAUCUUUACACUCGUAACUUUAAGGGGAUAUGAUGCUGAGAUGAAAGUGAUUAGAUUUUUCUGAAAAUCAUUUUAUCAUAGAGAGAAGGUCUCUUCUGUUUCAAAAAUGACAAUUUUUAUAUAUGUAAAUGAGUUCGUUUCCAUGGAAACAACCCCUGAACCUAACAAUGUUGAAAAAACACAAAAGGCCAAAAUUUUGCAGUUGUAGAUCCAAAAAUAUGUACAACAAACAAACAGGUUGUAAUAUGGCUAUAUUUAAUGGCCAUCAUACAAACAGUCUAUGUGCAGACACUAUUAUGUGAAAUCUUUUUUCAUGUAACACAAACACAAAUUACCCAAAAUUCAGUCCGAAUUUCCUCAGCGCCUCUAAAAAUAUCUUUUUGAAGAUAGAGUUUUCUAGGGAAAUGGUCAAAAACAUUUACUGAAUGUAAUUAGAUUUUAAUUAUUUUACUAUGAUUUAAAGAUGGCAUCCAUAGCUACAUGACUAACCAAAAAUAUUGGCAUGUCAAUGAAUUGGAUAAAAAGAUAUGAUGAACUGAAGGUCAUCUGAGGUCAUUGAAUAUUGCUACAAAUAAAUCGAACUGAUUUUUUUUUCUUUCUCUAAAACACAUUUUUUUUAAAAACAUCAAACAGAACGUUUAAAUCUUAUGUUCUUAAAAGUGGUUAAUUUCUGGAAAUAUUUUAGUUGGUAUAAUAACGAAUUUAAUUUGGAAAGAAAACAGUCUGAAUUUCCUCUGUCUUUUUUUUGCGUUUUGGGCGUAAAUUGUUCAGACAAACGCCAAAAAAUCAUAUCCGGUAUGAAUGUAUAUAGAAUAUUUGAAAUUUCAUAUAAAGAAUGCAUAAAGGUACCGAACCAAAAAAAAAAAAAAAAAAAAAAAAAACAACAACAACAACCCACUUAAAAUCAUAUCACCGACCAACCUAAAUGUUCUGAUUUCAUUAAAACUUUAAUAAUUUAGUGAAACGUUAACCACAAUAACCAAAUGUUUGGCUCGAAUUGUUUUGAACACAGCCUUAUUUUGCGUUGAAAAAAUAAUUCAAACAAGUAGCAAUCGGACAUCCGAUAUUGAUACCGUAAUUGCGCCUUAGUAUUUAAUAAUUUAAGAUAGUCUUGUGCCAUUAGUUGUAAUUGAAUCAGUGCAUAUAAUUCAUUAUAGUAAAAGUGUAAACUGAAAAGUACAAUAGAAUUGAAAUGAAUCAACGGAUGAUGGACACGUAUCGCAGAUCUACAUUAUGUACCCCUCUAAACUGCAAAUAUUGUUUUAGAUGUAUGUGUAAAUUAUUUGAUUGCUAUUGAUUCUAACUAUUCUAAAGUUUCAACUGAUAUUCUGGUGAAACCUAUUAAUGUUUCGAAAAGGGAGGGGGUGUAACAAGUUGGGCGCACUAAACAUUUUCAUAAAACUAUUAAUGAAAGUUGAAGAAAACAAACAAUGAUCAAUCUCAUAACUCCGAAAUAAAGAGUUGGACAAACACGGAUCCCUGGACAUACCGGAAGUGAGAUCAGACUACUUUAUUAUUGUAAACAUUUAUACAAAAAUUUUAAUCAACUGUUUGGUUUUCUUUCUACGCAAUCUGGGGAGGGGGUGGGCUUGGGUCUAUUUGAAUAUGGAAUUUGCGUACAAAUAUGCCCGUUUCAAAGUAGAGGAGAGGCAGUCUAGAACACUCGUUUAAGUCAAGCCCCCCCCCCCCCCCCCCCCCCCCCCCCCCGAUCUGCAAAUGAAAAUUAAAUGGGUAAAAUACAUGUACUAUGUUAGAUUUAAAGCAUAAAAUAAUUAUUUGAUGAGAGCAGCAACAGGAUGAUAAAGUAAGUUUUGAUUAUGCCUAUUCCGCAUUUCCUCCGUUUUAUGACAUCUAGGUGUUUAAAUACGUAUCGGCCGAUCUAAUUUCAAAUCCAAACAUCUAACACUAUAUAAUUUUGAUUCAAAUAAGCAAUUAAACUUACGUACAUUUCAAUUAUGUUUGCAAAAAAUGCAUGCAUGCACACCUCAUUUGGACUUAAAUAAUAUAAAUCCAUCGGUAAUUAAAUUCCGCCAUGCAUAUGCAGAAAUCAGUGCUAAAUAAUUCGUAGCCUGCUUUGUAUAUCUACUUAUUAUGGUAAAUGAGGUUACAAGUAUCAUAGAUGAACCAAUGAAUUGCAUUAAAUAAUUCACAAGACGCAGACACAGUAUAUACAUGUACCGGUAGAGGUAUACGUGAGCGGUACCACAUGUACCUUUGUGCCCACAAAAUGUUUAGUCCUCGGGUAAAUAUAUUUUUCAAUUAUUUUUAUUAUUUACGAACUCUCGGAAUAUAAUACAAAAUAUUUAUUAUUACUCUAGCAUGAUAAAAAAUUUGUAGAAUUUUUUUAGCCCUAAGUUUACUGUCGUUCAAUUUGGGUAUAUGUGCUUUUAAAAUUGUGCAGAGAUUCUGUUCGACGUGUUACGACUCCGUCUUUCAUUUCUAUUUUGAACAGAAUACACAGGUCUAGAAAUACAUAAUAACAUGCGAUACCGUGACAUCUGUCAAACUCUGUCUGUUGUCAACGUAAACAACGUAAACAUGGCGUCAAAAAUCACGCGCUUAUGUCGUUACCUCAUAUUUCCUAAAAACACGUCAUAACGGCAUUCAUACAAAAUUAUUCAAUCAAAAUAAGGCCCCAGCUGUUAUGAUUUAUGCUUUUGUAUUUCGAAAAUAUGACUUUAGUCAAAGUCAUAAUCAAUAUAUGUCACGACAAUCAUGACCUACGUACGUUAGUUCGAGUUGCGCAGUGACUUCAAAAACGUCACAAUCAUAUCCCCUUAAAAAAUGUA
Long non-coding RNA from Ostrea edulis (European flat oyster), 7006 nucleotides. RefSeq lists it as uncharacterized. The record is from RefSeq and is a predicted model, not a curated record. NCBI's taxonomy places the organism in Eukaryota, Metazoa, Mollusca, Bivalvia, Ostreida, Ostreidae. The transcript has 2 exons.